AAAUACUCAAAACAACUUGAAUAUGAAAAAUUUGUAUCACCAAAAGACAAGAGGCUCAACCACUUAAUUAACAUUCGUGACAAAAUAGAAACUAUUUGAUUGGAUUGAUUAGACUGUUGAUGUGACAUUUACAAUUAAUUAGUGAUUAAAGUAUUUAAUCAAAGGGGAACAAUUUAAAUUGAGUUGAUAAAGUUGAUGGAACAAUUGAAAUUCAAAAACGACAGAAUCUUUUGUAGUUGCUGAAAGAAAACACAGAUGUCACUAGUCUUAAAUUUUUGUCGAAAAAAAAUUUUUUCAAAUUUUUUGGUUCGAAAAUUUUAAUUCAAUUCAAUUGUUGUGUCUUUUUAAUUUAAUUGUUUUGAUUGAUAUUCAUUUAUUUCUGUGUCUAAUUGUUUUAAUUUCUAAUUAAUUAGACUCUUUUAUGAGUAAUUCUGUGGAAUUUUUCUGUCGAAAGGAUUUGGAGAUUCAUUUGGAUGUUUAAUGAUUUUUGUGUUCACUGAUUUCGAUUGAUGGAAUUAGGAAAAAAUAGGAUUGCAAGUUCUUACCUUGUUAACAUUUCCUGAUGGCUCCUUGUCCAACAUACUAAUCAUGGCUACACUCAGAUUGGCUCGGGCGGCAUACAUAACGGCCGAUGAGAGGCAAGCAAUUAAAGCGAUGUAAUAACGGAAAGGAAAGAUC
Long non-coding RNA from Panonychus citri (citrus red mite), 678 nucleotides. RefSeq lists it as uncharacterized. NCBI's taxonomy places the organism in Eukaryota, Metazoa, Arthropoda, Arachnida, Trombidiformes, Tetranychidae. The transcript has 2 exons. The record is from RefSeq and is a predicted model, not a curated record.